This 452-nucleotide ribosomal RNA is filed under the name uncultured bacterium. RNAcentral's name for it is "bacterial SSU rRNA". It matches the Rfam family "Bacterial small subunit ribosomal RNA", at positions 29 to 524 of the family's 1533-position model. The record is from RNAcentral.
AGCGAACGCUGGCGGCAGGCCUAACACAUGCAAGUCGAGCGCUCGUAGCAAUACGAGAGCGGCAGACGGGAGAGUAACACGUGGGAACGUACCCUUCAGUUCGGAACAACCCAGGGAAACUUGGGCUAAUACCGGAUACGUCCGUAAGGAGAAAGAUUUAUCGCUGAAGGAUCGGCCCGCGUCUGAUUAGCUAGUUGGUGAGGUAACGGCUCACCAAGGCUACGAUCAGUAGCNGGUCUGAGAGGAUGAUCAGCCUCACUGGGACUGAGACACGGCCCAGACUCCUACGGGAGGCAGCAGUGGGGAAUAUUGGACAAUGGGCGCAAGCCUGAUCCAGCCAUGCCGCGUGGGUGAUGAAGGCCCUAGGGUUGUAAAGCCCUUUCGGCGGGGAAGAUAAUGACGGUACCCGCAGAAGAAGCCCCGGCUAACUUCGUGCCAGCCGCCGCCGUAAG